Molecule: ribosomal RNA, 459 nt
Filed under: uncultured bacterium
Lineage: Bacteria
Description: partial 16S ribosomal RNA
Rfam family: Bacterial small subunit ribosomal RNA
Source: RNAcentral
CUACGGGCUGCUCCAGUAAGGAAUAUUGCGCAAUGGAGGCAACUCUGACGCAGCCAUGCCGCGUGCAGGAAGAAGGCCUUAUGGGUCGUAAACUGCUUUUAUUUAGGAAUAACCCCCUGCUCGUGAGCAGGGCUGAAGGUACUAAAAGAAUAAGCACCGGCUAACUCCGUGCCAGCAGCCGCGGUAAUACGGAGGGUGCAAGCGUUAUCCGGAUUUAUUGGGUUUAAAGGGUGCGCAGGCGGGCUAUUAAGUCAGUGGUGAAGUCCCGGGGCUCAACUCCGGAACUGCCGUUGAUACUGAUAGUCUUGAGUUUGGUUGAAGUGGGCGGAAUGUAGCAUGUAGCGGUGAAAUGCAUAGAUAUGCUACAGAACACCAAUCGCGAAGGCAGCUCACUAAGCCAAAACUGACGCUCAUGCACGAAAGCGUGGGGAGCAAACAGGAUUAGAUACCCUAGUAGUC